GAUAAUUGGAGUGAAAGUAUCUUCCAGUCUCACCUGAGGCAGGAGGAUCACUUGAGUCCAGGAGUUCUUGGCUAUAGUGUUAUGCCAGUUGAGUUUCUGCACUAAGUUUGGCAUCAAUAUGGUGAACUCCCAGGAGUGGGGGACCACCAAGUUGCACAAGGUGGGAUGAACCAGCCCAGGUUGGAAAUGGAGUAGGUCAAAACUCCCAAGCUGAUCAAUAGUGGGAUGGUGCCUGUGAAUAGCCACUGCACUCCAGCCUGAGCAAUAUAGCAAGAUCCCAUCUCUA
This is a non-coding RNA of Nomascus leucogenys (northern white-cheeked gibbon), 286 nucleotides long. It matches the Rfam family "Metazoan signal recognition particle RNA". From Rfam's summary of the family: The signal recognition particle (SRP) is a universally conserved ribonucleoprotein. It is involved in the co-translational targeting of proteins to membranes. The record is from Rfam. Lineage: Eukaryota; Metazoa; Chordata; Mammalia; Primates; Hylobatidae.